RNAcentral lists this ribosomal RNA (333 nucleotides) under Triticum aestivum (bread wheat). RNAcentral's name for it is "partial small subunit ribosomal RNA". Lineage: Eukaryota; Viridiplantae; Streptophyta; Magnoliopsida; Poales; Poaceae. The record is from RNAcentral.
AUGGACAUGGAAGGGGAUCCAUCACAUCACAUCACAGGAUCGAUUGGGCACGAUCUCAGACGACAGGUUGAGGAAGGUGCGGAGGAACUCAAUGUCGUUGUUGGCCAGGUACCAGUAGUAGUGCUGCCACGAGAAGGUCUCCCUGACGUACUCCUUGGACUUGAAGCUCUGCAUGAGCUUGAUGACCUCGAGGUUCAAGGCAUCGACCUGGGGGUGCUUGGCCAGGUUGUAGUCCUUCUUGGCGUACAAGACUCCCUCUGCACAAGCAUCACAAUAGAUUCAUCAAUAAAAUCAUUCAGUCCGUCCAAAGGAGUGGCAUUCUUGCACACAUAA